AAGGAGUUUCUCAGCACCGCCCACAGGGAGCACUACGGGGAUCAAAGGGAGCCGCCCAUGGCCCGCCCAUGCUUGGGACACGUGGGACAUUGUGGCACCGCCCCUGAUCCCUGGACGGUCUUGCCCAACAGAAGCCAACAGGCACGGGGCAAACUUGGGUGGGUGUAGGGCUGAACUCAGAGAGCUGCCAGAUGGCCAGGGCCAGCUGCCUAGCCCAGAAAGUGCCUAUGCUGGUGUUGGAAAAGUAGGAGGUGCCUUGGGAACCAGGCUGCAAGGGGCUGAAUCCCACCUCUGCCACAUGCCAUGUGGUGGUGACCUGGGGCAAUUUACCUAGCCUCUCUGAACUCUAUGUAAUGGGAGUGAUCACAGCACCUAUCUCACAGGACAAUUGUGAAAAUUAUUAGAAAUGCUUAAUACGAAGUGCUUGACAAAAUCAGCAAUGCUAUAACACACUAAUAACUCGAGCCCACCUAAGGUGACAGCAGGUUACAGAUGGCAGUGCAGAACAUCCAGUGAGUCAGAUCUCAGCCUUUGGCGCAGCAGAGCAAGCACCAGCCCAGGGGACCUUGGGUCAGGAUUCAGGCCCUGAGUCCACUGCUGUCACUAUCACAAAUCCCAAGGUAGGCUACUUUGCAAGGAAAAGAGGCUUGUGGUGGCUCUGGUGGCUCUGGAGGUGCAAAUUGAAGGGCCCCAUCUGCCUUCUAGCCAGGGCAGGGCAGGGCAUCACUGGGCAGAGGCAGGGAGCAUGUGCCCUACCAGGAACUCGUUGGUGCGGCUCACUGGAUGACCUCCUCUCAGGCUGGUCACCUCCUUAAGGCCCACCUCUAAACACUACAUCAGAUGAGCUCCCCCCUUACUGCCUGGCACUGGUGAUCAAAUGCCCACCCGGGAAAACUGGGGGGACACACAUACCGUGUCCAAGCCAUCGCACAGGCCACCUGGCUGGACCAUGGUGUGCAGAUAUGGGAGGGGACUGGGCCCUGGGCAGUGGAGGAAGAUGAGCACUGAAGCCAGCCAUCCAGGAGGGGGCCGGGCACCAAAAC
This 1043-nucleotide long non-coding RNA is filed under the name Marmota monax (woodchuck). Lineage: Eukaryota; Metazoa; Chordata; Mammalia; Rodentia; Sciuridae. The record is from RNAcentral.